RNAcentral lists this non-coding RNA (95 nucleotides) under uncultured Cetobacterium sp. RNAcentral's name for it is "Purine riboswitch". It matches the Rfam family "Purine riboswitch aptamer". From Rfam's summary of the family: Riboswitches are metabolite binding domains within certain messenger RNAs that serve as precision sensors for their corresponding targets. Allosteric rearrangement of mRNA structure is mediated by ligand binding, and this results in modulation of gene expression. A class of riboswitches that selectively recognises guanine and becomes saturated at concentrations as low as 5 nM. The record is from RNAcentral. Lineage: Bacteria; Fusobacteriati; Fusobacteriota; Fusobacteriia; Fusobacteriales; Fusobacteriaceae.
UAAUCAAUAAAAGUUUACUCGUAUAUUUUGGAAAUAAGGUCCAAAAGUUUCUACGUCCUAACCACAAAUAUGGAUGCUAUGGGUAGAGAUUAUAC